Molecule: ribosomal RNA, 253 nt
Filed under: uncultured bacterium
Lineage: Bacteria
Description: partial 16S ribosomal RNA
Rfam family: Bacterial small subunit ribosomal RNA
Source: RNAcentral
GACGGAAGGUGCAAGCGUUGCUCGGAAUCACUGGGCGUAAAGGGCGCGUAGGUGGCCCGCUCAGCGUGCGGUGAAAGCCUGGGGCUCAACCCCGGGUCGGCCGUGCGAACUGGUGGGCUGGAGCACUGUAGAGGCAGGCGGAAUUCCGGGUGUAGCGGUGGAAUGCGUAGAGAUCCGGAAGAACACCGGUGGCGAAGGCGGCCUGCUGGGCAGUGGCUGACACUGAGGCGCGACAGCGUGGGGAGCAAACAGG